Molecule: ribosomal RNA, 460 nt
Filed under: uncultured bacterium
Lineage: Bacteria
Description: partial 16S ribosomal RNA
Rfam family: Bacterial small subunit ribosomal RNA
Source: RNAcentral
CCUACGGGAGGCAGCAGUGAGGAAUAUUGGUCAAUGGGCGCGAGUCUGAACCAGCCAAGCAGCGUGAAGGAUGACUGCCCUACGGGUUGUAAACUUCUUUUGUACAGGGAUAAAGUGAGGCACGUGUGCCUUUUUGUAUGUAUUUUAUGAAUAAGGAUCGGCUAACUCCGUGCCAGCAGCCGCGGUAAUACGGAGGAUUCGAGCGUUAUCCGGAUUUAUUGGGUUUAAAGGGUGCGUAGAUGGGUUGUUAAGUCAGUUGUGAAAGUUUGCGGCUCAACCUUAAAAUUGCAAUUGAUACUGGCAGUCUUGAGUACAGUUGAGGUAGGCGGAAUGCGUGGUGUAGCGGUGAAAUGCUUAGAGAUCACGAAGAACUCCGAUUGCGAAGGCAGCUUACUAAGCUGCCACUGACAUUGAGGCACGAAAGCGUGGGGAGCAAACAGGAUUAGAUACCCGAGUAGUC